RNAcentral lists this ribosomal RNA (497 nucleotides) under uncultured bacterium. RNAcentral describes it as "partial 16S ribosomal RNA". It matches the Rfam family "Bacterial small subunit ribosomal RNA", at positions 28 to 507 of the family's 1533-position model. The record is from RNAcentral.
GACGAACGCUGGCGGCGUGCCUAAUACAUGCAAGUUGAGCGCUGAAGGUUGGUACUUGUACCAACUGGAUGAGCAGCGAACGGGUGAGUAACGCGUGGGGAAUCUGCCUUUGAGCGGGGGACAACAUUUGGAAACGAAUGCUAAUACCGCAUAAAAACUUUAAACACAAGUUUUAAGUUUGAAAGAUGCAAUUGCAUCACUCAAAGAUGAUCCCGCGUUGUAUUAGCUAGUUGGUGAGGUAAAGGCUCACCAAGGCGAUGAUACAUAGCCGACCUGAGAGGGUGAUCAGCCACAUUGGGACUGAGACACGGCCCAAACUCCUACGGGAGGCAGCAGGAGGGCAUCUUCGGCAAUGGACGAAAGUCUGACCGAGCAACGCCGCGUGAGGGAAGAAGGUUUUCGGAUCGUAAAACUCUGUUGGUAGAGAAGAACGUUGGUGAGAGUGGAAAGCUCAUCAAGUGACGGUAACUACCCAGAAAGGGACGGCUAACUACGUG